This 72-nucleotide transfer RNA is filed under the name Candidatus Diapherotrites archaeon CG08_land_8_20_14_0_20_30_16. RNAcentral describes it as "tRNA-Glu". It matches the Rfam family "tRNA". From Rfam's summary of the family: Transfer RNA (tRNA) molecules are approximately 80 nucleotides in length. Their secondary structure includes four short double-helical elements and three loops (D, anti-codon, and T loops). Further hydrogen bonds mediate the characteristic L-shaped molecular structure. tRNAs have two regions of fundamental functional importance: the anti-codon, which is responsible for specific mRNA codon recognition, and the 3' end, to which the tRNAs corresponding amino acid is attached (by aminoacyl-tRNA synthetases). tRNAs cope with the degeneracy of the genetic code in two manners: having more than one tRNA (with a specific anti-codon) for a particular amino acid; and 'wobble' base-pairing, i.e. permitting non-standard base-pairing at the 3rd anti-codon position. The record is from RNAcentral. Lineage: Archaea; Nanobdellati; Candidatus Iainarchaeota.
GCCCCUGUGGUGUAGCGGUUAUCAUAUGAGAUUCUCAAUCUCGUGACUCGGGUUCAACUCCCGACAGGGGCA